CCAGACUCCUACGGGAGGCAGCAGUGGGGGAUAUUGCACAAUGGGGGGAACCCUGAUGCAGCGACGCCGCGUGGGUGAAGGAGUAUUUCGGUAUGUAAAGCCCUAUCGGCAGGGAAGAAGCAAGACGGUACCUGACUAAGAAGCCCCGGCUAACUACGUGCCAGCAGCCGCGGUAAUACGUAGGGGGCAAGCGUUAUCCGGAUUUACUGGGUGUAAAGGGAGCGUAGGCGGCAGUGCAAGUCAGAAGUGAAAGCCCGGGGCUCAACUCCGGGACUGCUUUUGAAACUGUACAGCUUGAUUGCAGGAGAGGCAAGUGGAAUUCCUAGUGUAGCGGUGAAAUGCGUAGAUAUUAGGAGGAACACCGGUGGCGAAGGCGGCCUGCUGGACUGCGACUGACGUUGAGGCCCGAAAGCGUGGGGAGCAAACAGGAUUAGAUACCCGCGUAGA
RNAcentral lists this ribosomal RNA (447 nucleotides) under uncultured bacterium. RNAcentral's name for it is "partial 16S ribosomal RNA". It matches the Rfam family "Bacterial small subunit ribosomal RNA", at positions 331 to 794 of the family's 1533-position model. The record is from RNAcentral.